AAAAAUGUAAAUUCAGUAAAUGUAAAUUCGACACUAAAAUGCUGUAUUUUUAUACAAAAACCCUGAGUUGAGGCUGUUGGUUGAUUUUGCCGAACAAUUGUUUGAAAAUCGUGUCAUUUUUCACACAGCCAAAUAACUAUAGCAAGCACGAUUUCAGUCCCACAGUAAACGGGUGCAGGCGCGUGCACGAGGAGGCCUCGCUGUCUGAGCGGCUGCGGUUACUGACAACGCUCUGGCUCCCAUCCUGACCUACUGCACAACCUCAGUCAAAAACUGUGACAUUCAGUUCCACCAAAAAACAAAAGACUUCAAAACCGCACAAUGGGCCUCAUUUAAUCACGCUCUGCUCCCGUUCAGGGUCACCACAACAGUUCACCCAUCUGCAUAUUUGGAUUCUGGCACAAGUUUUUUGCCAGAUGCCCUUCCUGACGCAACCCUCCCCAUUUUCCGGGCUUGGGACCAGCACUGAGAUUGCACUGGCUUGUGCAACCCUCCAGUGGCUGCGGUUGGCUACCCACUAGUUCACCAGGGAACCUUGAACUUCUGGAUUAUGAUAGAACACAACUCCACUUGAGCUCACUGAUCAGACCAGGCUGAGAGCUAUCACAGUGGGGCAAAAUAGUUUAAUGAGCACACUUCAUCUUGCCACCUCUAUGUACAAGACCUCCUGCCUGCUACACCCAUAAAUAAUGGGAACGCAAAUGCUACAUUAGCCGCUGUUACUAGCUACUAUCUUCGAUUCACUUGUAAACCAGUGUGAAUCUUGACUUGACCCUUGACCACUCUACAUUUUUUAAAAAUCCAGAUUUAUAAUAUAGGAGUAAUGUAAGAUUUGAAGAUAAUCCUUUAUUCAUCCCCAAUUGGGAAAUUUGAUUUGUUACAGCAGCAGAUAUAAAGAUAUAAAAAAAAAUUAAAAAAUAUAUAAGUAUAAAAAUAUGAAAGAGAGACACACCAAGAAUGCACAAAAACACAAACACACAACAGUAUUAAAUUGACCAAACUGCAUUAUUGCACUGUUCCCAUGAGACGGGGGGUUACCAAAGAUUUAUUGUCCAAUUUAGUACCAGGGAUUUAUUGUCCAGUUAAGUGGUGGGGUCUGCUGGGAGCGGUGCUGGUUGUACAGUCUCACAGCAGCAGGGAAGAAGGACCUGCGAUACCACUCCUUCACACACUUGGGGUGGAGCAGCCUGUCACUAAAGGAGCUGCCCAGUGCCACCAGAGUCUCAUGCAUGGGGUGGGAGUCUUUCUCCAGCAUAUGUGAUAGCUUGGCCAUCAUCCUCCUUACUCCAGUUUACAACAGUGUGCAAGUAUGUGGUUUGAAUCAUAACACUGUUUAGUGGAGGUAGAUGGACGGGGAAAUUUGUCCAUUUUUAUUGCUUGAACUACACUAGUGCAUCAUGUCAGGAUAGUAAAAUAACACUAAAAUAACACAAACUCCAUUACUUUAAAUGCGGCUUGUCUGAAUGUGACUCCCAGUAACAUUUCAAAAUAUUAACACACAAAAUCUGUCUUUGAUAUUUCUAAUAUAAAUUAUUUUAAGUUAUUGAAUGAAACAAAGAAGAGACUGCGAGUUUCUCUUGCAACCCCAUUUGUAAUUCAAGCAACCCUAUGUGAGGUUGCUAACCCUACUUUGGGAACCUCUGGUCUAACCUUUCAAACUCAUCUGUAAUUUGCUUUAUGUAUUUAUUGUCACAAAGUUUGCUUUGUUACAGACAUUGUACAUCCCUGCAUAUGAUGUGGUGAUAUAAAUGUAAAAGAUACAUAGAUGUCAAAUCUUUGAAAACACUAUACGAUAUGGGACAUUCUUAAUGGUUGAUGUACUGUAUAUAUUUUGGUACCUGUAAUGCCUUCACUUGUUCCUUUGAUUUCGUCUUGGGGUUCAUUUGAACCUUUCAGACCAAAGUUCAUCACUGGGAGUUAGGUUGUGCAUCUGUCCUGAACAAUGCAAUGUCUGUGUGGUCCCAAGAUUUUUUUAUAUUUGCAUAGAAUUGUUCGUACAAAUGCUUGUGGUACCUUCAGUUUGGAAAUUGCUCCUAAGGAGGAACCUGACUUGUGGAGGUCUACAGUCUUUUUCUGAGGUAUUGGAUGCGUUGCUUGUAUUUUUCCAUGGUAUUGAGGGCAGUAAGGCACUGUCUCUAAAGGUAUACAUUUUACAGCCACAGGUGUGCUCCCAAUUUACUCCUAAUUACGACCAGUGGCCAAUCAGAAACUUCUAAAUGUCAUGACAUCAAUUUCUGGAAUCUUCCAGGCUGUUUAAAGAGACAGUCAGCUUGAUGUCUGUAAAAUUUUGACCUACUGGAAUUCUGAAAAUGUGAAUUAAAGUUGAAAUAAAUUUGUCUCUAAUUGAUUGUUUUUAAAUUACUUUUGGCGUGAACAAAGUAGAGGCCCUAAUUGACUUGUCAAAAGAAAUUGUGAAAAAUGACAUAGAAUAUCUUUAGCCAAGGUGUAUGUAAACCUUUUGCUGCAUCUGUACGUGAGAUACCAUUUCAUACAGUUGUAAUUGCAUACAAUUGUAUGUCAAUGCAAUAUAAUAAAGUUUUGUAACAAUGAUAUCCCAGCAUUUUAAAAAAAUUAUAUUGAGGCUUUAAAUUUAUAUUGGCAUCAAAUACUUUACUAUUACUCACUAUUGUAAUCAGUUCUUCAUUUCUGUCCACAAAGAAUAGAAAGUUGUUUUUUAGCCCAUUUGGACGAGUUGUGGAUUCUAUGUCUACCAUUCCUAUUCGAGGGGGUAUGGCUUCUAUCUCUGUCAAUCUUAUAGGAGGAGGGGUGAUUGCUGUGGCUUCUGUACCUUUCAGUCUUAUUAGAGAAGGUGUGGCUUCUGUGUCUAUCACUCCUUCUGGAGAAGGUAUGACAUCUAGGUGUCUAUCACUUCUAUUGGAGGAGGUAUAUCUUCUGUCUAUCAGUUUAUUGUAGGAGGGGUGGCUUCUGUUAAGGUUAAUUUACCUUAACCUGGUCCAGCUUCCUGGGCCAACAGUAGAGGUCUGGUUGGAUCUUUGUCUUUGUUUAAUGCCCUGGGUAAUAUCUGUUUGACAGGUUUAUUUGGGUAUAUUCUGAUUGCUCAGUUCUCCCUAUGUAAGGUUUUAUGCAUGUUUUAAAAUCUGCUGUCUAGCAGUCUUGGCCCAGCAGUGGGGUAGUAUUCUGCCAGGAGUAGACAUCUUGCUACUACUUAUUGGCCUUUAAUCUAUGAUAAAGUAUAGUGUCUGUUGUUAUCACAUUUAUAUGUGUAAUAUAUCCUUUAUAUGAUGACUUUAUGUUAAACAGAUUUUUAUUUCAUUUUCCUUCUACUUGUUCAUGGUUAGCAUUUUUUAAUUUAUUAUUUUUAGAGACAAUUACCUAGCAUUAAAUUAUUGGUAGGAUUAGGAUUUCACUAAGUUUAUUGUUUGUCUAGGAUUAGGUUUCAUGUUUGAAAUUAUUAUGUGUCUAAAAUUAAGCAAGUGUGGCUUCUGUGUGUAUCAGUCCUAUUGGAGGAUGUGUGUUUGCUCUGUUUAUCAGUCCUGUUGGAGGUGGCAUGGUUUCUCUGUUAGUCAGUCUCUACUGGAGGAGGCCUGGCUUCUGUGCCUAUCAGUACUAUUGGAGGAGGUGUGGCUUCUGUGUCUACCAUUCCUAUUGGAGUGCGUGUGGCUUCUAUGUAUGUCAUUCUUAUUGGUGAAAGCAUGGCUUCUGUGUCCAUCAGUUCUAUUGGAGGAUAUUAUCCCAAAAUGUCAAUUUCGCAACCCGUGGAACACAGUGGACCUUGUGUACCCAAACACACAUGGCUCAUAUGCUCCACCUCGGCUGCUCAGGCCAGUAUUGUGGGCCGUGUACAUCUGCUGUGUCAGGGUUAGAUAAAAAAAAUUGCUGCAAUCGUUGGUGAAACUUCCCUGAAAGGAAUAAUCCCUAAUGGAGACACCGGAAGUGUAAUUGCUUCAACCACAGACGAGACCAUCUCAAGAUCCAUAGUAUUUGUCAUGUCCUCUUCAACAAACCCUGCUGGCUUGGUGAUCUUCAGCAUCCAUUCCCUCCAAACUGUGGGUCUUUUUUGGAUGGGAAAUAGCUCUCAAACUCCGCUGAGAGUGCACACAGGUCCAAUCCCUGGAGCAGGUCCACAGGUCCAAUCCCCGGAGCAGCAAUUUCCAAACAACUGAAGGUACCACAAGCAUCUAUACAAGCAAUUGUAUGCAAAUAUAAAAAUCUUGGGACCACACAGAUACUGCAUCAUUUAGGAAUGAGGCAUCCCCAGGGAUGAAGGAACUUAUGAAUGGCAUCAUUAAAUAUAACAUCAUGGCUCCCUUUGUACUUGUGUUAUACCUUCUUUAAAGGUCUCUUUCCUCCAGCAUUUAGCACAAAAGCAAAAAGGCAUGUUAACCAGCAGAGGGAGCUGGAUCUCUGUAUAUCACUCACUCACUUUCAUUAACCAUUUUCCUGGUCAGGGUCAUGGUGGAUCCUGGAUGGGAGGCCACUUCACACACACUCAUUCAUUCACACGUAUAGGAGCAAGUUAUCCACCUACUAUCAUGUUUUUGGGAGGUGGGAAGAAACUGAGAUACGAAAACAUAUGUGGACACAGAGAGAAUGUGUACAGAAACUCCGCACAGACAGUUACUCUAGUUCAGAAUUGAAUAGGGGACCUUACUCUCUGUGCCACUGCAAAGAAUGUCUCUGUAUAUUCAUUAAUCUACUUAUUGUCAGGGUUGCAGUUAAUUUAGAGCCUAUCUUUUGUAGGAAUACACCCUGGAUGGGAUGCCAGUCCAUCACAGGGCACCAUGCAUGUUGGGAAGUGGAAGGAAACUUGAGAAAACACACAAAUAUUAUCCCAAAACCAGGUGUAAAUUAUCUUGAUGUAUGCCACUUUGCUGUUAUAAUAACCUCCACUCUUCUGGGUAGACUUUCCACUGUAUUUUGGAGCAUGGCAUUGGGGAUUUGCCCAUUCAGCCACAAGAGCCUUAGUGAGGUCAGGCACUGAUGUCAUGCAAGUGCCAGUUCAUCCCAAAGGUGCUCACUGGGACUGGUCGGGGCUCUGUGCAGGACACUCGAGUUCUUCCAUACCAAUCUUGGCAAACCAAGUCUUUAUGGACCUCGCUUUUUGAACAGGGGCAUUAUCAUGCUGGAACAGUUUGGGGCCCUUUAGUUCCAGUAGAAUGAAAUUUUAAUGUUACAGCAUACAAACACAUUCUAGACAAUUGUGUGCUGCCAACUUUGUGGCAAAAUUUUGGGGAAGGCUCAUGUAUGGGUGUGAUGAUCAGGUGUCCACAUAUAGUGUACAUUUACUUGUAAUCAAUGUAUAUGUAUAUGUUUACUUUUAAAAUCUUGGCAAAAAAAGUUACUAAAAGGUUUUUUUGUUUGUUUUUAAAUUCAGUCCUAAGCCCUUUAAGUUCUAAUGAAAGCUCCUUCAUUUCCACUAAUUUAUUUGGAAUUACAAUUAAACUUGUGUACACGUAAAUGUGAAAUGAACAGUGACUCUUUUUUUGUCAGUUUGGAAGUAGAUGAAAUUGAUUAAUUGGAAUUACAACAGGGCUACUGACUUGGCCACUGACUAUGAAUGAAUAAAACAUACUGAAGUAGGUGCAUAUGUAUAGCAUAUCUGCAUUCUUUUGUAUUUUUUUUUUUUAUUUUACAUGACUGCAGCUGCUUUUCAGAGAAGAGUCAGAGAGUGCAGGAGGAAAAGCACAUCGCUCCAUCUGAACAAACAUAGCUAGAGUAGUGAGGUGCGUCUGGAAUGUCAUGUCUGCUCUGUAUGUUGACUCACACCACAGGCCCUCUUUCACCACUGGGAGAACAUGCUCAGCCUGCUGGCUAAAACAACACUGAAUUCUGGGAAACAUUGGCCUUUUUAGCCUCAACAUCUGUCAGCUUGUGAAGCUUAAAUGUCCUGCUUCUCAAGGGCACACUUCUAGAAAAAAGCCAUAACUGAUAAGAAGUGUUAAUGAUAUGUAAUUUCUCAUUAGCUCGCUUAACAUUUGACUCUGUAACCAUAUCUUGUUCCAGAAUAUGUAAUUUAGGGGUUUCACAGCAAAGGGGAUGAAUACUUAUGCGGUCAAAAAGAUUUAUAUUCAUGUAUAUUUGACAUAUAAUCCCAAUAAUUGAGAUUGGUCAGUUGUCAGGUUAUACCACUACUGUGUACAUGUGCUAAGAUUGACCAAAAAGUUCAAGUAGUGACAUGUUUCAGUAUUCACAAUAAAUGCCACCAUUAUAUAUGGAUAAUUCCCUAUAACCUUCUUUGACACAGGUUCUGAAUAACAAGGAACCAUGGCAGUUAUCCAAGCUUUAUAGAACCACAGUUACACAUCACUAGCAUUUAAACCCAGAGGUGGCAUGUAAGACCACAGUGUACCAACAAUUUCAUGAACAACAGUUCAGGAUUGCCAUGAAACCUACUCAGAGAUAUUCACCACGCAAACAGCACUGGGAGGGAAGAUGUUAACCUUGUAAAAUCUGGAGAAUGUGCAUGGCUACAUCCAGGUAUUUGUAACAUAGAUGUCCUGGAGUUGUAUAAAUGAGGAGAAGACUCUUAUAGAGUGUCAGUAGGGGCUAGGCAUCUACAUCUACAGGCUAAUGUCACUGCAGAGUCAUGGCAUGCCAGGCAAGCAUAUCUCCAGAGCAUGCCUGUAAUUCUUUUAGCUGAAAUAAUUACUAGCAAGAAGGGAGCUUUCAAAGACACCCACUUCACACAUAGCCUAAUAAGGAAGAUCUUUUGGGCACUUUGUUACAAGGGGGAUGCUCCUUGCCACACAUGUAAGUCCUGCAGACAUCAAACAGCGCAGGGGUGUAAUUCCAUGAUGUGAGCUAAUAAAAGCCAGGCUUAUUUGAAAUAGCCUCGCUUGAUUUAGUAUAUCAGGUCAAUCCAGGCUCACUGCAUUCCAUCAAAGAAAUUCAGGUGCAGCCUAUUUCUGCUAAUUCAUUCAAGCUCAUACAUGUGCACACAGUGUGCAAGCAGCCCUAGCAGUCAAGUGAAGAUACACCAUAUGGCCAAAAGUUUGUGGACACCAGACCAUCAUUUUUUGAACAUCCCACUCCGGGCCUACGUUUUUGCAGCAGCACACUCUUUAGGCUGAGGCCCUUGGGCUAGAUUUGACUUUCUGGCAAGAUUCAAAUCUUCCAGCAAAAUGUACCAUGUCAUGACUGGUAUCACAGAUGCCUCUCCUCUCCUUCUAAAAGACUUCCUAGAGACUUCUAUAGCAUGGUUAUUACUGGCUACCCACUCAGGCAAUCUAUCCCAAGGGUAGAAUAAAGGGUUGUUUGUGUGGAGGGAAUACCCAGUCCAAAAUAAAUGUUGGGGGAGUACCAUUCUAUGACGCAGGCAAAGCCUUAUGUGGAAAUGGAGCCCCUAGCCAAGAGUUAUACAAAUAUUGCUUGUAAUAUAUGAAAAAAUUCUCUUACCAAGGUAGCAAGAAAAGAGAGGAGGCUGUUUGCAGUUUUGGAGGACAGAACACAUGUAACUCUGAGUGUGAUUUAAUCACAUAGCUCCAUGCUGUUAAUAUAGUCCAACCUGUGCAGAAGUGAGAAGGAAAAAGGCAAUGAUUCAUGCAUGAUGCUGGUAUUUAUGGUGAAUACAUCCAUUCAUGCAGCAUUAUGCAAACUUGUGGGUAGAUAUCAGCCUGCACACAUUACCAGAUAUACAAAGAUGUUAUCCAAGUGUUACACACCAUGGUUGUAAGGAGGGGUGAAACUGAAACACUAUUAGACACUACAGACUAAUCCAUGCCUACCUUGUUUCAGCUCAAACUACUCUAACCUGUCAUGGUCCCUCAGGACUGUAGCAGCUUGUUGAAUGCUCUGUUUUUGUUACUGUAAGGUAAAGGUAGGCUUGUGAGAUCUUGUGCAACGUGCCAUUGUUCCCCCUUAACUAUUGCCGAUUGACGAUAGUAUCGGCUGUGGCAUUGAGGGGGGAAAGAAGGGGGCAUGGUCAGACAUACACAACGUGUGCUGUGUACACGUUACAUCAUCACAGCGGAAAAAUAAUGGAAGCUGGUUACAAGUUGGCUGUAGCUGCAAUCUCUAGCACUAAUGUUUAGUUAAGCGUAGGGAAGCUAAGAUGCAUCAGACAAAGAUAUUUUGUUGCUGUGCUCCAAGGCAGACAGCAGGUUCUUAAGGUAAAAAGGAAAUAGGCAAAAAGGAAACAUAUUUGUCAGGAUACACACUGAGCGAAAGGGUAAGUUAAUCCAAACAACCUAUAUUUUUCACAACAGCGGGUGCAAAAACAAGUAGGUAGGUAAAUGCAGGUUGUGCAGUCGAUGGAUGAUGAAAUGAUAAGAAUAAAGUCCUUAUCUUAUGGAUGCUGGCUUGAGAGUAGACCAUUGAUGCACACACCUCAGUCUUACGGUGGAGUAUGGAUAGCAGGUGAAUAUUGCUGGGGAAAACAACACACUUGGAGGAACACGAGGGAAAAUCACAGGUAAGUUCACUGGAGAUAAUUCACAGGCACCGCCGAUCAAGUGGUAGCAGUAAAGGGUCUGUUUCCUAGUUCAAGACCAGACAAGUGACUGAACUGAGGUGUGUGCUUUUAUAUGGUGCUUGAUGAGAUGUGCUGAUGAGUGACAGGUGGCCAUGAUCAGAUUGUGAUCGUUGAGUGGUGGUGGUGAGAGAGCCUGGUGAACCCGUGACGAUAUUACAAGAUAUAACACAAUUUAUUUUUGUCUAUCCUCAAGCUGCAGACAUCACAUUUUCCAUAGACAUUUAAAUUGUCUUUAACUUGUUAGCCAUCACGAUAGUUGGAAUCUAGUGGUGAUUCCCAAUACUAUUGUCAAAUGUCCCAAGCCUAAGACUGUUUUUAAUCCCACUUCUGUCCUCUCAUAAAGGAAUUUCAACUGAUGGGGCCCACUCUAGCAAUUAUUUUUGCUUGUACCAGCUCACAAUAUUUUCUGGGUUUUUCCCCCCAUUUUCAUACCAGUUUGGUCUUGCCAAUUCUCACUCACUAGAUAACUUUUCCCUAUCACAUGACAUUUACCAACUAGGGAGGGAGGAGCAAGCAAGUGCAGCUUCACAGCGCAGUGAGAACCAGUCUCAAUUUCACUAUGGAAACAGUUAUUUCCUGAUAGCCUAAUGUGCAGAAAAAAAAAACUUGAAUUUCAUGACUAUCCAAUCAGAAGUGACAACUGUUUCUUGGCUACCCUCAGAGCUGCUGAAGAGGAAAGUAUUAUCUGCCCUGUUCUGCAUGCAUGAGCUCACAGACACCCAUGAUUGGCCAGUGUUACAGGGGAGAGAUAUCAGUGCCAUCCCUUCCCAUUUCCACAUAAGGCUUUACUGUCUUGUUGAAUCACUGGGAUUCAAACUCGCAAUCCCCUGACAAUAGGCAAACACGUUUCUGAUGGACCACUCAGGUGCCACAGUGUCUUCUGAUUAACUUGGUUGGUUGUGUAUACCAAAAUAUAAAAAAUAAAUAAUUUAAACCACAGUGACCAUGACCAUAUCUAGCCAAGCUCCCACCCACAAGAGAUUACAAACUCACCCUCAAAUGGCAAUAACUGGCUAUGAGGACAUCGAAGUCUGGACCUCUGUAGUUUCUCCAGUCGUCAAUUUCAAAAUGGAAAAAGUGAUGUUCUGAUAACGUGGUGGCAAAAUGUAGCUAGUGCAAAAAAAUGUGCAAAAAAAAAAAACAUUCUAUGAUUAUCCGAUCAGAAUACUUGUUCUCAGCUGCCCUCAGAGGACACUUUAGGUUUGCCCAUACACUUAAAGUGCUUUCACAUCUAUUAGUCCAUCAUACAGGGCAGCUUGGUCCACACCAUAAGAGAGAAUACAGAAGCUGUUCUUAAUAAAUCAUUAAAUAAUUCAAUGAAUAACUAGUUUAAACAUUUAGUUUAUUACACCCAGUGUUUAUUUUCUCUUUUUGUUCAAUGGGCCCAAUAUCCAGAACACAUGGUAUUCUUGCAGAGCUACAGCAGGUCACAGGUCAACAAAAAAUGCUGCAACCCAAAAUACAUGGCAUGUUUGGUUCACUUCCUGUAAUCAGGCUGAGUCAAAGUCAAAUCACUUUCUCACUGCAAUAACUCACUAGAGUUCACUUAGAACUGGAACAAGACCACCUCGCUCAGACAUUCUUGGAUAGGUUUUUUUGGUCCACACCAAGAGUGCAGCUGCUGUGUUCUCCCUUCCACAAAUGGAUUAGAAGUAAACGCUGCAUAUGUAAAAACACCAUUAAUCACCCAUUAUUUUUAGCUCUCAAUAGACUGUUUGCUGCCAGACUUAAACUUCUUGUUGAAAGCUAUGCAAAACACAUAUUAUAGGCUAACAUUGGACAUAGAUAUGAUAUAAAUGUAUAAGCAAUUGUGAGAACAUUUAAUUGUGAGUGUUUAUGAGGGCUGUUGGCAUCUUCAGACAGCUCCUAAGAAUGCAAGAUAUUUAUCUCCUCAAAAUGAGCUCAUACUCAUCUGAGAAUGAACAACCACCUGUUCUUCACUGCCACCAGGUGAGGUCCACCCUGUGCUAAACUGACAUCACCAAAGCAGGUGGUCCAGACAGGGUCUCAGCUUGCGGACUGAAAGAGUACACUGACCAAAUAACAGAGGUCUUUACCAACAUAUUCAAUCUCUCAGUACAGGAAGUUUCUGUCUACACCUGCCUCAAAACUAGCACCAUCAACCCUGUUCCCAAGAAGUCAGCAGUGCAAUACUGGAAUGACUACCACCCAGUUGCCCUGACUCCCAUAACCAUGAAGUGCUUUAAGAGACUAAUAAUGGAGCACACCAACACCGUCCUCCCCCUAUUCUCAACCAACACGAUUUUGCAUGCCAAACAAACAGAUUUUUGGAGGACACAAUCUCUAUUGCACUUCACACAGCCCUCACACACCUGGAACAACAAAACACAUAUGUGAGGAUGUUUGUUGAUUUCAACACAAUAGUCCCCCACAAACUGGUCAACAAACUCUGCAACCUUGGCCUGAGAACCCCACUCUGCUCAUGGAUUAUGGACUUCUUAACCAACAGGCCCCAAAACUUGAUGAUUGGAAACUGCACAUCCCCCACACUCAUCCUGAACACAGGAGUGCUGCAAGAGUGUGUCCUCAGCCCUGAUCUCUUCUCCCAGUUUACACACAACUACACCCUAAAACACUCCUCCAGCACAAUAGUCAGGUUUGCAAAUGACACCACUGUUGUGGGUCUGAUUUCAGACAACAACGAGACGGCCGACAGGAGAUGAGGUGCAAAACCUCAGAGAACAACCUAGUCUCAACACCACUAAAACCAAAUAGAUCAUAGCAGACUUCAUGACCAGAAGAUCCACACACUGCCCACCACAUACAGGGAGACAAGGAGGAAAGAGAGGAAAGACGAAGAUCUGAUAUGGUAUCUCAACACCUCCCACCUAGGGAAAAGACCCCAAGUGAGACUAUUCCUGCUCAGGUGUCUCGUACCAAAUCAGUGCAAAAACACAGUCCUAAUGAUACACCCAGAUUUGCACAGUGUCUCCUACUUGAAGUCCCACAGUGUUGUAUGUGUAUCUGUAAAAAUGCAAUUUUUUUUAUUUGUUUUUUUUGGGGUUUUUUUUGCACUGUUUUUCUGUUAUAUCUGUCAUAUAUUUGUGAUAUCUAUUGCAUCCCUUGACGCUGGUCUGCAUAAUUGUAAUGCAAAUGAAAAAUUGUUAGUGUUUUAUGUGUUCUCCCUCUUUAUGGGGCCUUCAUCAUCCUAACAAAUUCUCAGUGGUCCUCUGAACAGGGGUAGUGGUGGCGCGUUAAAAAAAAAAACGUAGGCAGGCAACUACAUCUUUUUGAACAGUUGCAUUUGAAAAGAUGAGUCACAGGACAGUGUAACACACUUGGAGGAAAGCACUAUCCUCUUCCACAUACAUGAGCUCAUAAAUGCCCAUGAUUGGCUUGUCACUGUGUUUGACAUGGGAGAAAGAGUAAGUCACCUUCCCACUCUGAGAGCAUGGCCAAUUCUGCUCUCUUGGACUCCCACACAAGUAGUCUUGCUGGAAGCUGCAUUUGUUCAUUUAACUUGUUAGCAUGUUUGAAGUGUACUAAAAUUCAUCUCAAGGCUUGAUUAGAAAUUGUGUAGCUGAAUAUUGUGAAAAGCUGAGUCUAUAUUUGAAUUGUAAAUUUCUAAUAGGAUUCAAUCAUUAAUACAAUACAGGAGACUAAUCUAACACAUGGAAGUUCAUUAUUGGUAAUCAUCUUGUAGCCCUUCAUCAGUGUUGAGAAUUGCCCAGCAGCCAACUAAUAUUGUCGUCCUGUGGUGAUCCUCUUUCUAUUUAUGGUAAGAUGGUAGCAAACAUCUUAACAGAUGGCUACAGUCAUACAGGCAUAAGGUAAUUGUACAACUACAAAAUGGCCUAUAUAAGAGGUUUCCAUGAUAAAAUUGAAAUGUAAUGUAUGUGUAUGGUUAGUAUGCAUAACUAAUAAACUGGCAACUUGAUUUAUUUGACCUUAAAUUUUUUAAAGACCUCUAUGGAACACUUUAAAUAGUACCAGAGGCCCCCAUUUUCAUGGUCGUAGCACAAGCACAAAAAGAGCAUCAGAUUACAGUGUUAUAUUUGCAGACAAGUUGUACAGUGUUGGACCACCAUGAGCAACCAGAGCAGCUUUAAGAAGGGAGACAUGUCCUGUAGCACAUAGCUCUAUAUAAAGGAAUGCUGAUAAGUGUCCUAUAUUUAGACAUGAGUAUUAUUUCUGGAAUGUGUUGUGGCUUAUGCUUCAUCCUGUACUGAUAUUACUUGAUGAGUGUUCUACAACCUUAGAAAAAAGGCAGAAGAGAAAAAGAGUUGUGGAAUUUUUCUAUGACAACUUCCUCUAAUGAGUCACCACACUCCACUGAAGCAUAUCACUUUGAAACAGAGGUCAGAGGAGCCAAUAAUUCCUUUAUAUCAUUUUCAAGAGGCAGAGCAUUUUAUAGAAUAAGGACAAAUCUUUCACAGCAUGAUGCAGAUAACACACUGUAUUCAAAUGCCCUGCCGAUUUUUGUCAAUUACAUGUGGAUCUGGCAAUAUUGUCACAAAUGUUUAAAGCUCAAAUCCCUUAAACUUGUGACUUCUAGAAUACUUGUGUGAGUGUCCAAAGAUCAUUUGGUUAAACCAUCUGAAAAGAUCUUUUCAGUAUUAAAUUAUUUUGGACACAUUGGUGUAUGUGGAAAUGAGUUUUUUAUUAUUUAUUUUUUAAAUUGAUCUGCAGAUUAAGACUCAAUUUUAUUAGUAGCAAAUUAGUGGAAUGUAGAAGGGAACCUUCCUCUACUGAGUCACAGCUCUCAGUAUUAGCACAAACACUGUUUACAAACAGGGAGAAAGCAAGAAAAGUACUGACAUGAAGCACAGGAAUACCUGGCUCAAGGAAAGUUCGAUAGGACACAAAAAGUCAAGGGCAGAUGAUGUGUGUACAAUGUAAACAUAGGCUCCACCUCCACAUGAUUGCCAACACUAAACAGUUCCACUCCUCUUGUGCAUGCCAUGUCUUGCUAUGUCCUUGGCCUGGCCCCAAGUACAAAUAAUGGAUCCAUCUCAUAUUCUCAAAAUAACAUUUGCACAGUGAAAUACUCACUCAUUUACUUCCAUUAACCACAUUAUCCUGGGCAUCAUGCACACACAGACACACACACACAUAUUCAUUCACACCUACGGGCAAUCCACCUAAUCUUAUGUUUUUGGGAGGUGGGAGGAAACCAGAGAACCCAGAGGAAACGCAUGCAGACAUAGGGGGAACAUGCUCAGAAACUCCAAACAGUCACCCAAGCUUAGGAUCAAACUCGCUGCACCUUUGUGCAGCCCAUACUAAAAUCAUUUUUAAAAAGGGUUAGUUAACUCUAGAAUUAUUGGUAGGCAAAUAAUGGACAAAAAUAACCCACAGCAUUUCAAAUCUCAAAAUGUCCUGACAAGGAUAGGAAUAUCUGUCAGUUUUUUUCCCACAAAUACUGCAACUAAAAUAGCCAAAAGGUUUCCAUUUGGUUAUUGAGAUUAAAGUUAGGGUUAGAUUUAGGUUCAUAGCCUUAAUUAGCUGCAAAGGUCCUUAAAAGGGAAGGAAGACAAACGUGUGAGUGUUAGUAGGUGUGUGUACUGAUCUGUGGCUCAGCUAUAGGGACCCUUGGGUCAAGGAUACAUAUCACUUAAAAUAUCACGUUUGGUAGUAAAGGGCUGCCUGCAUUUUACAUUUUGAUCUAUAGCAUAUGAACAGCAUUAAUAGAUCAACCCACUUAGAUUUUUAGAUAAUCUAUUAUUUUAAUUUCUUUCUACUGUAGACUGUUCAUUUCAACGACACCAAAUUUGGUAUGUAACAGCUAUAGACAAGGCUCUAAGAAUUCAUUUCUCAUCAACUGGAUCUAAAUCCCAGCAAGACUAAGCUACUGUAUAACUCUGAAGAUACAUCCUCAUGUCAAAAUCUUGUGAUAUCCCUGGACAACUCAGUUCUCACUUCUGACACUGCACGUAAACUUGAGGUGCUUGUUCACUCCUGGCAGAUCUGCCCCUGCAUGCCAGCCAACCCUUGCUACUGAUCCAGAAUACAGCUGUAAUACUUUUUCAGUCUUCCCAAGUUCUCAACACCCAACACCCAAUUGCAGCAUUCCCUACACUGGAUCCCUGUAGCUGCCUGCAUCAGAUAUAAAACACUAAUGCUUGCCUACAGGUACCCCAUUUUCCCUCAGGGAAGACAUGCAUGGAAGACUGUACUUUCCCUGGCUGUCCAAACAGCUGAGUCACUCUCUGUCUUCAAAUGGAGACUAAAGACCUCUGCCUUAUUUAAUCUAUUUUAAGAAUUUUUUGACUGAUGUGUUUUUCAUACUGAACUAAUCUCCCCGUAACACUGGUGUCGUACAUCACUUUGUGACUUUGUUGGGAGCUCUUGGCAUGUGUGUACACGCUCGAGGUGAUUCUCACUGCCCCUGUCAGUUAAGAGUCUACUCGGCACUUUUUCCUCAUUUUGCUAUUUCAUCUCUCUCUCUCUGAGCUUUUGCUUUCAUGGAGAUUUGUGGGCGUUACUAAAUGCAAUUGAGCUGUGUCAGGAACAUGCUUGCACUUUACGAGUGACUGCCUUUCAUCAACAUACACAUGCAAGUAUGCAGAAAAUCAGCAUUUCUGAAACUUCUGUAAGUUUAGUGGAAAUUUUCAAUUUACUUUGGUUUAAUUUACAUAAUACAUUAUUAAAAGAUUGAUAAAUGAGGCCUAGUGUUUGCACUAGGUAAAAUAGCUUACCUGAAACUCAAUAAGUAUUUUUAACAACAAGCACCAAAGGUAGCAAAGCUCAUGCCAUGUGAUUUGCAAAGGAGAGUUGAAGGUCAUACUGUCACAGUAACAGUAACACAUACAGUCAUGGGAAAAAGAAAGUAUAUCCUCCUUCAAUUUAGUUUUUAUA
This is a long non-coding RNA of Pangasianodon hypophthalmus (striped catfish), 15250 nucleotides long. RefSeq lists it as uncharacterized. Lineage: Eukaryota; Metazoa; Chordata; Actinopteri; Siluriformes; Pangasiidae. The transcript is spliced from 4 exons. The record is from RefSeq and is a predicted model, not a curated record.